This 501-nucleotide ribosomal RNA is filed under the name uncultured bacterium. RNAcentral describes it as "partial 16S ribosomal RNA". It matches the Rfam family "Bacterial small subunit ribosomal RNA", at positions 30 to 523 of the family's 1533-position model. The record is from RNAcentral.
AUUGGACGCUGGCGGCAGGCUUAACACAUGCAAGUCGAGCGGGGGAAGGUAGCUUGCUACCGGACCUAGCGGCGGACGGGUGAGUAAUGCUUAGGAAUCUGCCUAUUAGUGGGGGACAACAUCUCGAAAGGGAUGCUAAUACCGCAUACGUCCUACGGGAGAAAGCAGGGGAUCUUCGGACCUUGCGCUAAUAGAUGAGCCUAAGUCGGAUUAGCUAGUUGGUGGGGUAAAGGCCUACCAAGGCGACGAUCUGUAGCGGGUCUGAGAGGAUGAUCCGCCACACUGGGACUGGGACACGGCCCAGACUCCUACGGGAGGCAGCAGUGGGGAAUAUUGGACAAUGGGGGGAACCCUGAUCCAGCCAUGCCGCGUGUGUGAAGAAGGCCUUAUGGUUGUAAAGCACUUUAAGCGAGGAGGAGGCUACUCUAGUUAAUACCUAGGGAUAGUGGACGUUACUCGCAGAAUAAGCACCGGCUAACUCUGUGCCAGCCGCCGCGGUAA